Molecule: ribosomal RNA, 484 nt
Filed under: uncultured bacterium
Lineage: Bacteria
Description: partial 16S ribosomal RNA
Rfam family: Bacterial small subunit ribosomal RNA
Source: RNAcentral
AUUGAACGCUGGCGGCAGGCCUAACACAUGCAAGUCGAGCGGAUGAAGGGAGCUUUCUCCUGGAUUCAGCGGCGGACGGGUGAGUAAUUCCUAGGAAUCUGCCUGGUAGUGGGGGAUAACGUCCGGAAACGGGCGCUAAUACCGCAUACGUCCUGAGGUAGAAAGUGGGGGAUCUUCGGACCUCACGCUAUCAGAUGAGCCUAGGUCGGAUUAGCUAGUUGGUGGGGUAAAGGCCUACCAAGGCGACGAUCCGUAACUGGUCUGAGAGGAUGAUCAGUCACACUGGAACUGAGACACGGUCCAGACUCCUACGGGAGGCAGCAGUGGGGAAUAUUGGGCAAUGGGCGAAAGCCUGAUCCAGCCAUGCCGCGUGUGUGAAGAAGGUCUUCGGAUUGUAAAGCACUUUAAGUUGGGAGGAAGGGCAGUAAGUUAAUACCUUGCUGUUUUGACGUUACCAACAGAAUAAGCACCGGCUAACUUCGUG